RNAcentral lists this transfer RNA (67 nucleotides) under Neoperlops gressitti. RNAcentral describes it as "tRNA-Ile". Lineage: Eukaryota; Metazoa; Arthropoda; Insecta; Plecoptera; Perlidae. The record is from RNAcentral.
AAUGAGAUGCCUGAAAAAGGAUUAUCUUGAUAGGAUAAAUCAUGUAAACCCAUCUUUACUCUCAUUA